This is a long non-coding RNA of Nothoprocta perdicaria, 1746 nucleotides long. RefSeq lists it as uncharacterized. The record is from RefSeq and is a predicted model, not a curated record. The transcript is spliced from 2 exons. NCBI's taxonomy places the organism in Eukaryota, Metazoa, Chordata, Aves, Tinamiformes, Tinamidae.
CCUUGAUGCUCUCYAGCUGGUUCUUGGGGAGCAGUAAGGGGAGUAGUGAUUGCCUCUGCUGCAAGCAGAAAAGGAUCUGGGGAAGAACCUGCUGAGGAAGCCACUGUGUAUAGAGCAAGUCCACAAAAACAGUCUUCCUGRCCCAGUUAGAGCUUGGUGCAGGCAAUGUGCACAGAAGCAAACCCUGGAAAAGAAGGAAAGAUGUCUCAGCUGCACAUCAUGUUGGCUUAAUAUGAAUAAACCCUUCCUUAGUCAACACUAAACAAUCUGCAAAGACAAGCAAGAGUGAUUAACUUAUAUCACUAUGGAAAGAACCUCCAUGGAUUCAAGAUUUUGGGAAAGAAGAGGCAAUUUCUGCUUUGCUGGGACAUUAGUCCAUUUGGACACAGCAGGCAGACUUCCAUGUGACCAGAUUUAGUGUCUGUCCUUGCCAUUGUUGGCCCCCAAACAGCUCACGUGGUGGAAGGAGAAAAGCAUGAAUAACUGGAGAAAAAGUGUUAUGCAGAAAACAAAGAACCUCUUGACCUGGACCUUAAAAAUUAAGAAGGAAAAGACAACGUGUAAUGAUGAAAACCCUUCAGGAAGAGCCUCUGCAGGGCAGAUCAUGGGCUUGUGUGGAAGGUGCUGGGUGGAAACCCCCAUCACUUCUAGAUCACUACCAGACCUGUCUCUUCUCGCCUUCACCACUACUAGAAAAGAGGAAAUGAGAAAUGGUGUUUGGUGGUUAGACUUGGGAAAGAGAGCAGCCAAAUCCUGUUACGCAGCGGGGCUYUGAGAAAUGGAGGGUGGCAAUAACUGCCAUGCUGUCCUCUGCUCUCAAAUGAUGCUUCUGCGUAAAUAGCCAUCCUUGCAUAAGCCAAGUACCUGCUGUUAGCAUCAUUACCAGGCUCACGCACCUUUUUGGAAAGCUGUUUCCUAAUAAUCUAACCCUAAAAUCUCCUGAGACCUAAUUUUUAAUUUCCAAUAUCUAUUUUUUUACUUAUAUUUUGCUGCAGUUUAUUUCCUCACUUUGUGGCAUACACUCACCAAAUACCUUAUGAUCACAUCUCUCUUUAGUGUUAUUGUGCCCCAUGCCACAAAUUGAGCAGCCUCAGAUGAUGCACAGAGUUUUGAUGGGAGCAUCCAAGACCACAUCCAGCUGCAGAAGGCACCAGCAGCUCAUGGUAGAGCACUUCCCUCCUUGCAUUUUUGGUAUCCAAGCUGUUGGUGCCUUAGCAAGGGCUGCGAAGGUAUCGUGUUGUCUAUUCUACUACCUGAGAAAGGAAAUGUAAAAACAAAGAGCAUUAUACUCAAGAUAAUAGCAAUAAAACAAUGAAAUCCAUUGUGUUUUACCAUUAACCUGCUAAAUGCUGUUCAACGGUGCCUGGUUUUCACCCUUUCUUGAUUCUACCCCCUGUACCAUGUGCUGAUAAAGCCCUUGGAGCUGCAUUAAGAGAAAUUCUGAUGGAAGGCACCUCCUAACUGCAAAAGCAGUUAGUUAAAGCAAAAUGACCGAAAACCAUCAGCUGAUCCAUGACUCACUGAACAACAAUAUAAAGUUCAAAUGUGCCCGGGCCUUCYGCCGGUUUCACAGGCCAUAAUGUGAAAUCAGCGGCUCUGUUGCAUAGAGAAUUAUMAUUGUAGGAUACUCUAAAUAAUUGAAAUGUAAUAGCAGUUAAUGAGUGGCUUCAGUGUCACGUUAUGCACAAGGCCACAAACUCAGUGGGCUCUCUCUGGCCACUUCCUCACCAUUAAAACCCCAGAGAA